UCAGACGAUGCGUCAUGCAUAUCAAUAAGCGGAGGAAAAGAAACUAACUAGGAUUCCCUUAGUAACGGCGAGUGAAGCGGGAAGAGCUCAAAUUUGAAAUCUUAAAGGUUUUCCCUUGACGAAUUGUAGUUUAAAGAAGUGUUUUCUGCUGAAGUUUUGGUAAAAGUUCUUUGGAAUAGGACAUCAUAGAGGGUGAGAGUCCCGUAUUUGACCAUUAUUUUCAGCUUUGUGAUACACUUUCAAAGAGUCGGAUUGUUUGGGAAUGCAGUCCAAAAUGGGUGGUAAAUUUCAUCUAAAGCUAAAUAUUGGCGAGAGACCGAUAGCGAACAAGUACCGUGAGGGAAAGAUGAAAAGAACUUUGAAAAGAGAGUUAAAUAGUACGUGAAAUUGUCAAAAGGGAAGCGUUUAACACCAGUGUUGUUUUCUGAAAAUCAACCUCUGUUAGCUUUAUGCAUGUUUGUUUAGACCUAAUCAGCUCUCUUGCAUGUUCUAUUGUUUGCAGUGGUGCACUUUUCAGUUUACAGGUCAACAUCAGUUUUUUUUACCGUAAAAAAGUUAAAGAAAGGUAGCUCAUGGCUCCGGUCGUGAGUGUUAUAGUCUUUUUCCUAUGCGGUAGGAGAGACUGAGGUCUGCAGUGUAGGCUAUUUGGCUAGAUACUCAGGUGCUAUGUGAUACCAUUUCAUAAACAACUUGUUGAUUAUGUUUUGUCUAUUGCAUACUCGCUUGUACUAUCAUACCUACGCUUAGGAUGUUGACUGAUAUGUAGUCGUA
RNAcentral lists this ribosomal RNA (771 nucleotides) under uncultured Neocallimastigales. RNAcentral's name for it is "partial large subunit ribosomal RNA". The stretch from base 4 to 661 matches the Rfam family "Eukaryotic large subunit ribosomal RNA", at positions 24 to 664 of the family's 3401-position model. The record is from RNAcentral. Lineage: Eukaryota; Fungi; Neocallimastigomycota; Neocallimastigomycetes; Neocallimastigales.